CAAGUACAGUGUGUUGGAUUC
RNAcentral lists this microRNA (21 nucleotides) under Cordylochernes scorpioides. The record is from RNAcentral. Lineage: Eukaryota; Metazoa; Arthropoda; Arachnida; Pseudoscorpiones; Chernetidae.